RNAcentral lists this transfer RNA (72 nucleotides) under Pseudomonadota bacterium. Its description in RNAcentral is "tRNA-Gly". It matches the Rfam family "tRNA". Rfam says of the family: Transfer RNA (tRNA) molecules are approximately 80 nucleotides in length. Their secondary structure includes four short double-helical elements and three loops (D, anti-codon, and T loops). The record is from RNAcentral. Lineage: Bacteria; Pseudomonadati; Pseudomonadota. RNAcentral also lists the same sequence under 2 other names.
GCGGGCGUGGCUUAGUGGUAUAGCGUCUCCUUGCCAAGGAGAAGGUCACGGGUUCGAAUCCCGUCGCCCGCU